UAAUCUUAGUGGCGACGGGUGAGUAACGCGUGGGUAACCUGCCUUACACUGGGGGAUAACACUUAGAAAUAGGUGCUAAUACCGCAUAAGCGCACGAAGCCGCAUGGAUUUGUGUGAAAAACUCCGGUGGUGUAAGAUGGACCCGCGUCUGAUUAGCUUGUUGGCGGGGUAACGGCCCACCAAGGCGACGAUCAGUAGCCGGCCUGAGAGGGUGGACGGCCACAUUGGGACUGAGACACGGCCCAAACUCCUACGGAAGGCAGCAG
RNAcentral lists this ribosomal RNA (266 nucleotides) under uncultured bacterium. RNAcentral's name for it is "partial 16S ribosomal RNA". It matches the Rfam family "Bacterial small subunit ribosomal RNA", at positions 87 to 354 of the family's 1533-position model. The record is from RNAcentral.